GUGAAGCAGAGCUUGCUCUGUGGAUCAGUGGCGAACGGGUGAGUAACACGUGAGCAAUCUGCCCCUGACUCUGGGAUAAGCGCUGGAAACGGCGUCUAAUACCGGAUACGAGCUGCGACCGCAUGGUCAGUAGCUGGAAAGAAUUUCGGUCAGGGAUGAGCUCGCGGCCUAUCAGCUUGUUGGUGAGGUAAUGGCUCACCAAGGCGUCGACGGGUAGCCGGCCUGAGAGGGUGACCGGCCACACUGGGACUGAGACACGGCCCAGACUCCUACGGGAGGCAGCAGUGGGGAAUAUUGCACAAUGGGCGCAAGCCUGAUGCAGCAACGCCGCGUGAGGGAUGACGGCCUUCGGGUUGUAAACCUCUUUUAGCAGGGAAGAAGCGAAAGUGACGGUACCUGCAGAAAAAGCGCCGGCUAACUACGUGCCAGCAGCCGCGGUAAUACGUAGGGCGCAAGCGUUAUCCGGAAUUAUUGGGCGUAAAGAGCUCGUAGGCGGUCUGUCGCGUCUGCUGUGAAAACCCGAGGCUCAACCUCGGGCCUGCAGUGGGUACGGGCAGACUAGAGUGCGGUAGGGGAGAUUGGAAUUCCUGGUGUAGCGGUGGAAUGCGCAGAUAUCAGGAGGAACACCGAUGGCGAAGGCAGAUCUCUGGGCCGUAACUGACGCUGAGGAGCGAAAGGGUGGGGAGCAAACAGGCUUAGAUACCCUGGUAGUCCACCCCGUAAACGUUGGGAACUAGUUGUGGGGUCCAUUCCACGGAUUCCGUGACGCAGCUAACGCAUUAAGUUCCCCGCCUGGGGAGUACGGCCGCAAGGCUAAAACUCAAAGGAAUUGACGGGGACCCGCACAAGCGGCGGAGCAUGCGGAUUAAUUCGAUGCAACGCGAAGAACCUUACCAAGGCUUGACAUAUAGAGGAAACGUCUGGAAACAGUCGCCCCGCAAGGUCUCUAUACAGGUGGUGCAUGGUUGUCGUCAGCUCGUGUCGUGAGAUGUUGGGUUAAGUCCCGCAACGAGCGCAACCCUCGUUCUAUGUUGCCAGCACGUAAUGGUGGGAACUCAUGGGAUACUGCCGGGGUCAACUCGGAGGAAGGUGGGGAUGACGUCAAAUCAUCAUGCCCCUUAUGUCUUGGGCUUCACGCAUGCUACAAUGGCCGGUACAAAGGGCUGCAAUACCGUGAGGUGGAGCGAAUCCCAAAAAGCCGGUCCCAGUUCGGAUUGAGGUCUGCAACUCGACCUCAUGAAGUCGGAGUCGCUAGUAAUCGCAGAUCAGCAACGCUGCGGUGAAUACGUUCCCGGGUCUUGUACACACCGCCCGUCAAGUCAUGAAAGUCGGUAACACCUGAAGCCGGUGGCCCAACC
Molecule: ribosomal RNA, 1358 nt
Filed under: Microbacterium arborescens
Lineage: Bacteria; Bacillati; Actinomycetota; Actinomycetes; Micrococcales; Microbacteriaceae
Description: bacterial SSU rRNA
Rfam family: Bacterial small subunit ribosomal RNA
Source: RNAcentral